RNAcentral lists this small RNA (644 nucleotides) under Pan troglodytes (chimpanzee). RNAcentral's name for it is "processed transcript". Lineage: Eukaryota; Metazoa; Chordata; Mammalia; Primates; Hominidae. The record is from RNAcentral.
CCCAGAAACACCCUCCUUUCAAAGGGAGCCCUGAGUCCUGAGCCUUUGCCUCCAAAAGGUCUGCAGUAUCUGGUGCUCUUGUCUCAUGCCCACAGCCGAGAGUGCAGCCUGGUGCCCGGGCUUCGGGGGCCUGGCGGCCAAGAUGGGGGGCUUGUGUGGGAGUGCUCAGCAGGCCAUACCUUCUCCUGGGGACCCUCUUUGAGCCCUACACCUUCAGAGGCACCCAAGCCAGCCUCCCUUCCACAUACUACUCGGAGAAGUUGGUGUUCCGAGGCCACGAGUGGGCAGGAGCUUGCAGAUUUGGAAUCUGAGCAUGAUGAGAGGACUCAAGAGGCCAGGUUGCCCAGGAGGGUGGGACCCCCACCAGAGACCUUCCCACCUCCAGGAGAGGAAGAGGGUGAGGAAGAAGAGGACAAUGAUGAGGAUGAAGAGGAGAUGCUCAGUGAUGCCAGCUUAUGGACCUACAGCUCCUCCCCAGAUGAUGAGCCUGAUGCCCCCAGACUACUCCCUUCCCCUGUCACCUGCACACCUAAAGAGGGGGAGACACCACCAGCCCCUGCAGCACUCUCCAGUCCUCUUGCUGUGCCGGCCUUGUCAGCAUCCUCAUUGAGUUCCAGAGCUCCUCCACCUGCAGAAGUCAGGGU